This 253-nucleotide ribosomal RNA is filed under the name uncultured bacterium. RNAcentral describes it as "partial 16S ribosomal RNA". It matches the Rfam family "Bacterial small subunit ribosomal RNA", at positions 524 to 776 of the family's 1533-position model. The record is from RNAcentral.
UACGAAGGGAGCUAGCGUUGUUCGGAAUCACUGGGCGUAAAGCGCACGUAGGCGGAUCUUUAAGUCAGGGGUGAAAUCCUGGAGCUCAACUCCAGAACUGCCUUUGAUACUGGGGAUCUCGAGUCCGGGAGAGGUGAGUGGAACUCCGAGUGUAGAGGUGAAAUUCGUAGAUAUUCGGAAGAACACCAGUGGCGAAGGCGGCUCACUGGCCCGGUACUGACGCUGAGGUGCGAAAGCGUGGGGAGCAAACAGG